RNAcentral lists this long non-coding RNA (318 nucleotides) under Homo sapiens (human). RNAcentral's name for it is "HSALNT0182185". Lineage: Eukaryota; Metazoa; Chordata; Mammalia; Primates; Hominidae. The record is from RNAcentral.
GCUGCAGGUUCUGCCAUGCUGGGCAUUGAUAGGUAGGACGAGAGAGAGCACGUAGGGCCAGUCCUCUGGGAAGCAGGAGAUGGGUGGCUGUGCUGUCCAGGCAUCUGCUGACAACAUUGGGGGAUAGGGCCUUGGAGAGAAACGUCUAUAGGCCUGGAGACAGCAGGGCGUGGGCGGGAGAGGCAGGCUGAUACCAUGCGGGUACUCACUGCUAGCCCCCAGAUCCAGCCCGAGAGGAGGAGGCUGGCGGAGGGCUGCAGAGGGCAGGUGCAGGACCAGGCUCCCUCCCACCCAGACAAGCACAGUAGCUUAGAAGGC